AUACGGAGGAUGCAAGCGUUAUCCGGAUUUAUUGGGUUUAAAGGGUGCGUAGGCGGAUGAUUAAGCGUGAGGUGAAAUGCCACUGCUCAACAGUGGAACUGCCUCGCGAACUGGUUGUCUUGAAUGCUCCUGCCGUGGGAGGAAUGUGUGGUGUAGCGGUGAAAUGCAUAGAGAUCACACAGAACACCGAUUGCGAAGGCAUCUCACGAAGGGGUGAUUGACGCUGAGGCACGAAAGCGUGGGGAUCAAACAGGAUUAGAUACCCUGGUAGUCCAUGCAGUAAACGAUGAUAACUAACCGCUGGGUCGUAGUGAUUCAGUGGCCAAGCGAAAGCGAUAAGUUAUCCACCUGGGGAGUACGACCGCAAGGUUGAAACUCAAAGGAAUUGACGGGG
RNAcentral lists this ribosomal RNA (394 nucleotides) under uncultured bacterium. Its description in RNAcentral is "partial 16S ribosomal RNA". It matches the Rfam family "Bacterial small subunit ribosomal RNA", at positions 523 to 918 of the family's 1533-position model. The record is from RNAcentral.